CUGGUCCAGGUGGGAUCAUCUGGCUGCUGAAGCAGGAACCGUGCAGAUGCCUUUCAGUCCGAGACACACCUGCAACCGUGCAGGUUUCCGAGUGUUGCAAACAUGAGAAUAGGGCUGUGAGGUUGUGAAGGGUGAUAGUGACCUGGGUUUGGUGACAGAAGGGAAAGACACUCUUAUGCAUGAGUGUUUUUGGUGGUGAUGGGGUAUAUUUUUAUAAUUUAGUCAAAAAAAAAAAAAAAAGUAUGUGGAAUUCUGUCCCUUGGUAAAGCUUGAAACCAGGCCAGCAAGAGGUGCCCUGGGUUCUUCCUGCUCCCCCUUCAAGCUCCCUGAUUAAAAGCUAAUGCAGGGUGUUUCUGUGCUGACGCCUCACUUCCCACCCUGUGCAUCUUCAGGUCCUCCCCGAGGGGGGAGGGGCUUCUGAGAUGGGGGUAGGGGGAGGCUCAGCCCAGCAGCCUCUUCCCUUCCCUUCUUAAUCAGAGCUCUUGCUGGGUCUCGCCUUUAGAAAAGCUGUUUUAAUUUCCCCCUCAGUUUGGACCGUGUAGAUAUAACUGGAUAUAAAGAUUUUCUCUAAGUAAGGCAGGCUUCUUAUGUCACUGGUGCACAGGGCAGAAAAGGAAGAGAGAAGAACUUGAUGCAACGAUUUAAAAACUGAGGUCUUUUUUUCUUUUUUUUUUUUUUCCUUUAAUGUUCUGGUGCGGCUUUCCCCAUCAGUAUUUGCUCCUGCCUCCUUUCUGGUGGUGGCGGCCUCCUCUGGCCGCCCUCCUCCCUCUGCCCCAUCUGUGGCUAUUGUGUUGGUUCUUGACGUGUGGUCUGUCCUGGGGUUGUCCCAUUCGUCUCUUCUCGGGGGUGGGGGUGGGGGUUUGUGAACUGAUCCCGCGAUCACGCCUGUUUUCUUCAUCUCUGUAUCUCUCCCUCCUUCCCGGCCCACCCGGGCGGCAGAAUCUGAUAGGAGGUAAGAGGCCGCAGGUGCGCACUGGAAACUAACAGGACGGAUUGGCAAAAGCAGGUGUCUUGGGAAACUAUUCCAGGGACGUUUCCCUUAUUCAGAAUAUUUCUGGAAGUACCUUUGGAGUCUGUGGUGCCUGCUCUGAACAGCCUUAAUGAUACCAAAUCUGCACCCGUGCUCGCGCAUUCAGUGCAGAGAGAGACCGGCGAAUAGUAGCUGUGGGCAAAUGAGGUCACAGGUGCAAAGCAUAAGGACCAACGUGCUAGUAAAAUGGCUUGGAUUUAAUGAUCUGACUUCUAAGCCGGCUGCGAAAGCAAUUGUGUAAUUUCAGAAUGCAUUCUGAGCGACGUCCUCAUUGUUGCAGUCGGCCCGCGUUGUUGCAGUCGGCACGCGCGGCUGGACUUCUUGGAGGACAUAAUGAAUUUGGUUGUGGAAACUCCGAUUUGUUUGAAGAAAUCUGUCCUGUUACUUUCUGGUCCUCCCAGGUUCUGACUUUACCAGGGGCAAAUAAAAAAAAAAAAAGAAGGGGGAGACAAAUCCCAUCUGUGAACUUGUCUUCUUGGCGCCUUUUCCCCCAGCUGUCUUCCAAGUAUUAUUUUUACUGUCAAAAAAUUUUUUUAAAAAUGUGAAAUGUAAUGUUUUUACAGCAACAAUAUGAAAUAUAUUUUAUAAGGAAUAAAAUGGUACAUUGUCU
RNAcentral lists this long non-coding RNA (1640 nucleotides) under Phocoena sinus (vaquita). RNAcentral describes it as "lncRNA (ENSPSNG00000013099.1)". Lineage: Eukaryota; Metazoa; Chordata; Mammalia; Artiodactyla; Phocoenidae. The record is from RNAcentral.